This is an unclassified non-coding RNA of Myotis lucifugus (little brown bat), 249 nucleotides long. Its record names the gene 7SK. It matches the Rfam family "7SK RNA". From Rfam's summary of the family: 7SK was discovered as an abundant small nuclear RNA in the mid-70s but a possible function has only recently been suggested. Two independent studies have found that 7SK RNA binds the CDK9/cyclin T complex (known as elongation factor P-TEFb). P-TEFb activates transcription by phosphorylating the C-terminal domain of RNA polymerase II. Lineage: Eukaryota; Metazoa; Chordata; Mammalia; Chiroptera; Vespertilionidae. The record is from Ensembl.
AUAUCGAAGUGGCUGUCCCCUCCCUUCCAACAGAGUUAUAUGCUUUCUUCUGAGAGUUGCCCACUCCAUUAAAGAGUAUGGAAUUCCCAGACAAAGAAGGACCAUUUGGUCAUAGGUACAAGAGUAGAUUCACUCCCCUGCUGGAACCUCCACACAAGCUCUCUAGAUCCAUUCUUGGUGUUCAAAUCUUGGCUCGGUCAUUUACUACCUAUAUGAGGUUGACCAAGUUGCUUUAACCUACCUGAGUCU